RNAcentral lists this ribosomal RNA (279 nucleotides) under uncultured bacterium. Its description in RNAcentral is "partial 16S ribosomal RNA". It matches the Rfam family "Bacterial small subunit ribosomal RNA", at positions 506 to 784 of the family's 1533-position model. The record is from RNAcentral.
UGCCAGCCGCCGCGGUAAUACGAAGGGACCUAGCGUAGUUCGGAAUUACUGGGCUUAAAGAGUUCGUAGGUGGUUGAAAUAGUUGGUGGUGAAAUCCCAGAGCUUAACUCUGGAACUGCCAUCAAAACUUUUCAGCUAGAGUAUGAUAGAGGAAAGCAGAAUUUCUAGUGUAGAGGUGAAAUUCGUAGAUAUUAGAAAGAAUACCAAAUGCGAAGGCAGCUUUCUGGAUCAUUACUGACGCUCAGACACGAAGGCUAGGGUAGCGAAAGGGAUUAGAUA